RNAcentral lists this small RNA (26 nucleotides) under Bombyx mori (domestic silkworm). RNAcentral describes it as "ovarian small RNA-28963". The record is from RNAcentral. Lineage: Eukaryota; Metazoa; Arthropoda; Insecta; Lepidoptera; Bombycidae.
UCGGCCUAUAUUGAUCCGGUCGGUUC